CGAACCAAACCAAACCAAACCGCAAGAAUAAUGAAUACUAGCCAAAUUACAUAGCUCAAGAAUAAUCUUUUUCGAUUCAAUUUUUCCAUUGUUGCAACAUCAGGUACGAUUCUAAUUCCUUUCCAUCUCUUUCAAUUCAUUUCCAGUGAUGAUUUUGUUUCCUUUAUUUCCCAAUAAUUUGUUUCAUGCUUAUGUUUCUUCUUAAUUUUACCUAUUUUGAUAUAAGUUUUACCUAGGGGUGUAACAGUUCGGUUUGAAUUGAUUUUUAGUCAAAAAAAAUGUCUAAACUGACAAAACCUUCAUCGGUUUGGAUUGAUUCGAUUUUCACUUAAUUUCAAAAAAGAAACCGAACCAAACUUGGUUUGGUUCGGUUGACCGGUUUAUUUAAAAAUACAAUUAAAAAAAUUUCAUAUUUUCACAAAAUAUUUCAUAGAACAUUGUAUAAUUGUAUUUCAUAUUUUGUUUUUUCAUGUUCUCUAUUUUUCAAACAACUUUUUAUAAUUAACUUUACUCAAUAUUUCAUACAUAUGAUCCAAGAUUCAUUCAUCCAUUCUUCAAAAACAACUUCAUCAAACUCAAAUAUUUAGUAGAGAUGAACAAUGGGUUUGGUGUGGUUGACGACUAGGGUUUCUUUUUUAGUAGAAAUGAAAGAGUCUGACUGAUGAGAUAAGAGAAAGUGAAUGGAUUAAAAAAUAUUUUAUGUUUAAUUUUGGGCUGAACCAUAAGUUUGUGUGAGGUAGGAUAAUAUUAGUAAAAUAAGGAGUGUGGUUAUCAUCGGAUUGGUUCAUCGGUUUCACGGAUAUCGAAAUGAAAAACCAUGAACCAAACCAAACUAGAUCGGUUUCGAUUGGCUUGGAUUGGUUUCAAACCGAACCAAAUAAGGUCGGAUAUUUUUCGGUUUGGUUCGGUUUAAACUUUUGAUUUCGUUGGUUCAGUCUGAACCACUUACACCCCUAGUUUUACCUAAUAUUUUAUCAUAUAAACAGCAAAAUAAAAUGUCAUAUGUUUAUUUUGUAAUAAGUUGGCAAUAUUAGAGUUAAUGUAAU
RNAcentral lists this long non-coding RNA (1046 nucleotides) under Medicago truncatula (barrel medic). RNAcentral's name for it is "long non-coding RNA (MTRU_LNC001347)". The record is from RNAcentral. Lineage: Eukaryota; Viridiplantae; Streptophyta; Magnoliopsida; Fabales; Fabaceae.